GGACCAAACUGUCUCGCGACGUUCUGAACCCAGCUCACGUGGGUGUUCGAAGCUUGAGAGGAUCUGUCCCUAGUACGAGAGGACCG
Molecule: ribosomal RNA, 86 nt
Filed under: Oxyrrhis marina
Lineage: Eukaryota; Dinophyceae; Oxyrrhinales; Oxyrrhinaceae
Description: partial Bacterial large subunit ribosomal RNA
Source: RNAcentral